UUGUAUUACAUAAAUAGGGAGUCGGACCUGCCCAGUGAAGUUUUUUAACGGCCGCGGUACUCUGACCGUGCAAAGGUAGCAUAAUCAUUUGCCUUAUAAUUGAAGGCUAGUAUGAAUGGUUUGACGAGAAUACAACUGUCUCUUUACAAUUAAGAAGAAAUUGAUCUUCAGGUGAAGAAGCCUGAAUAAAAUUGAAAGACAAGAAGACCCUAUCGAGCUUAAAACAAAUUGAUAGAUCAUAGAUUAAUAUUUUUAAAAAACUAACUAUUAAAGAUUUUGGUUGGGGCGACUGAGGAACAAAAAAAGCUUCCUUUAAUAGUAUAUUAGCACUCAAGCAUUGAUCCAGAAUUCUGAUUAACGAAAUUAGUUACCGUAGGGAUAACAGCAUUAUCUUUUUUAAGAGUUCUAAUCGAAAAAAAGGUUUGUGACCUCGAUGUUGGACCAGAAUAUCCUAAAGAUGCAGAAGUCUUCAAGGGUUGGUCUGUUCGACCAUUAAAAUUCUA
Molecule: ribosomal RNA, 503 nt
Filed under: Fusulculus crenatus
Lineage: Eukaryota; Metazoa; Mollusca; Gastropoda; Neogastropoda; Pseudolividae
Description: partial 16S ribosomal RNA
Rfam family: Bacterial large subunit ribosomal RNA
Source: RNAcentral